Molecule: unclassified non-coding RNA, 279 nt
Filed under: plant metagenome
Description: partial contains small subunit ribosomal RNA, internal transcribed spacer 1, and 5.8S ribosomal RNA
Source: RNAcentral
UUUCCGUAGGUGAACCAGCGGAAGGAUCAUUAUUGUAUAACCAAGGUGCAAGGCCUUGCGCUCAUACGAAUUGUUGCGCCGGCGGGACAGCCCGCACACAGAUCAAUCUCACCCCUAUGUGCACCACCCCUUGGGUCCCCCUUUGGCUUGUUCGGAGGAGGGCUUCCGUUUUCACACAAACUUUUUAUACAGUGGAGCAUGUAUUUUUUGUUUUUGCGAUGACGGAAUCAAUACAACUUUCAACAACGCAUCUCUUGGCUCUCGCAUCGCUGAAUAAUG